GGGCGAUUAGCUCAGUCGGUUAGAGCGCGUCUCUGAUAAGGACGAGGUCGAUGGUUCGAAUCCAUCAUCGCCCA
Molecule: transfer RNA, 74 nt
Filed under: Paraconexibacter algicola
Lineage: Bacteria; Bacillati; Actinomycetota; Thermoleophilia; Solirubrobacterales; Paraconexibacteraceae
Also listed under: 1 other name
Rfam family: tRNA
About the family: Transfer RNA (tRNA) molecules are approximately 80 nucleotides in length. Their secondary structure includes four short double-helical elements and three loops (D, anti-codon, and T loops). Further hydrogen bonds mediate the characteristic L-shaped molecular structure. tRNAs have two regions of fundamental functional importance: the anti-codon, which is responsible for specific mRNA codon recognition, and the 3' end, to which the tRNAs corresponding amino acid is attached (by aminoacyl-tRNA synthetases). tRNAs cope with the degeneracy of the genetic code in two manners: having more than one tRNA (with a specific anti-codon) for a particular amino acid; and 'wobble' base-pairing, i.e. permitting non-standard base-pairing at the 3rd anti-codon position.
Source: Rfam by way of RNAcentral